CACACCGCCGUCACAUCACGAAAGUUUGUUGCACCAGAAGCAGGUAGCUUAACCUUCGGGAGGGCGCUUGCCACGGUGUGGCCGAUGACUGGGGUG
This 96-nucleotide ribosomal RNA is filed under the name uncultured bacterium. Its description in RNAcentral is "partial 16S ribosomal RNA". The record is from RNAcentral.